CAGUAGCCACGGGAAUGCGGAGGGGGCUAGCGUUGUUCGGAAUUACUGGGCGUAAAGCGCACGUAGGCGGCUUGGUAAGUUAGGGGUGAAAGCCUGGAGCUCAACUCCAGAAUUGCCUUUAAGACUGCCGAGCUAGCAGGUGAGAGAGGUAAGUGGAAUUCCGAGUGUAGAGGUGAAAUUCGUAGAUAUUCGGAAGAACACCAGUGGCGAAGGCGGCUUACUGGCUCAUACUGGACGCUGAGGUGCGAAAGCGUGGGGAGCAAACAGGAUUAGAUACCCCCGUAGUCCCUGUCUCUUAUAC
This 301-nucleotide ribosomal RNA is filed under the name uncultured bacterium. RNAcentral's name for it is "partial 16S ribosomal RNA". It matches the Rfam family "Bacterial small subunit ribosomal RNA", at positions 509 to 807 of the family's 1533-position model. The record is from RNAcentral.